AUGCUCCGGCCGUUCCCCUGCCCCCACCGCACGCCCGCCGCCGCCGCCGCCAGCCCGCCCCCCGCCGCCGCGGCCGCAGCCAUGGCGCCGUCCUCCUCCCGCUCCCACUCCCACUCCGGCGGCGGGGGCGGCGGCCACGUCUCCCUCUCCCUCUCGCCUUCCUCCUGCAGGCACACCCCCUCCUCGGCCACGCUCGAUCUCCUCAUCCUCCUGCUCGUGCUCUUCUCCCUCGCCUUCCUCCUCGCCUCCUCGCUCGCCCACGUCUCGCGCUCGCUCUCCCCGCUCCUCGCGUCGCCGCCCGCCGCCGCGGCGCUCGCCUCCGCCGCCGCCGCCCUGCCCUACUUCGCUGCCGGCCUCCCCUACGUCGCCGCAGCCGCGGUGCUCGCCACGGCCGCCUUCCUGUCCUGCCGACGCCUCCCUCGCCGCCGCUGCCGCAACCCGCGCUGCCGCGGGCUCCGGAAGGCGCUCGAGUUCGAUGUCCAGCUCCAGAGCGAGGAGGCCGUGCGGGCUGGCGGGGGGAGCACCGUUGGCGGCGCUGACGCCGCCAUGUGGCGCGAGAUCGAGACCUUGCCGUGGAAAGGGGGCCAGAGCGGGAACAAUCCGGACUACGAGUGCCUUCGCGCAGAGCUCCGCCGGAUGGCGCCGCCCAACGGCCGCGCUGUCCUGCUCUUCCGCAACCGCUGUGGCUGCCCGGUGGCCAAGCUCGAGGGCUGGGGCACCCCCAAAAGCAAGCGGCGGAAUAAGAAGGGCACGCAAGGUUCUUCACUGGACGGAGGGGUGCGAUAA
Molecule: ribosomal RNA, 786 nt
Filed under: Triticum aestivum (bread wheat)
Lineage: Eukaryota; Viridiplantae; Streptophyta; Magnoliopsida; Poales; Poaceae
Description: partial small subunit ribosomal RNA
Source: RNAcentral